AACGCACGAGACCUGCGGACCUGCGGAAGGAUCAUUAAUGAGAAACCGCCCCUCGCGGGUAGAUCUCCCACCCUUUGUAAACUUACCUUUGUUGCUUUGGCAGGCCCGUCUCCGGACCGCCGGCUUCGGCUGGCCAGUGCCUGCCAGAGGAUUCUAAAACUCUGUCUGUCAGUGUUGUCUGAGUCUAUAUACAAUCGUUAAAACUUUCAACAACGGAUCUCUAGAUCGGAAGAGCACACG
RNAcentral lists this unclassified non-coding RNA (240 nucleotides) under soil metagenome. RNAcentral's name for it is "partial contains 5.8S ribosomal RNA, internal transcribed spacer 2, and large subunit ribosomal RNA". The record is from RNAcentral.